Molecule: long non-coding RNA, 301 nt
Filed under: Linum usitatissimum (flax)
Lineage: Eukaryota; Viridiplantae; Streptophyta; Magnoliopsida; Malpighiales; Linaceae
Description: long non-coding RNA (LUSI_LNC005872)
Source: RNAcentral
GCAGGAAGAGUCUGAUUGAGGUUGCUAGAAUAAAAAUGCCAUAGGGUAUGGUUACAACCUAAACACGUGGGGCGACCCUUGAGGUCCGCCUUCUUCCCAACCUUUAUGAGACUUGGGGCAUGGGUCGGAGACUGGUUACCUCCGAGUUCGGCCAAGGUUGUGACUAUCCUCGUUUGGAAAACUCAGUACUAUAAAUAAAGCCAAAAAUGUGAAUAAUGAAAGAAAAGAAAAAGAAGAUGAAAAGAAGAAGAAAAAAGCUAGUGAAAGAAAGUUAUAUAUAGUAGAUUAUAGCUAGUAGUAU